This 254-nucleotide unclassified non-coding RNA is filed under the name Melitaea cinxia (Glanville fritillary). Its description in RNAcentral is "misc RNA ENSMCXG00005007233.1". Lineage: Eukaryota; Metazoa; Arthropoda; Insecta; Lepidoptera; Nymphalidae. The record is from RNAcentral.
ACGUUUAGAGAACGAAAUAGGCGUACAGAUGAUAAAAGGGAACUUGUGCGAAAUCAUUAAAAAUAAAGCAAGUAGAGAACUGUUCCUACAGUAUUGCAAGAAAAUAGUUAAAGCAGUUAAUAUUAGAAAUAAGAAUUAGUAAAAUUAUGUUUUCUGGAUAUAAUUGUAUAUUAAAAAAAAAAAAAAAAAAAAAAAAAAAAAAAAAAAAAAAAAAAAAAAAAAAAAAAAAAAAAAAAAAAAAAAAAAACCUAACC